AAGAGACAGCAGCCGCCGCGGGAAAACGAAGGGUGCAAGCGUUACUCGGAAUUACUGGGCGUAAAGCGUGCGUAGGUGGUGGUUUAAGUCCGUUGUGAAAGCCCUGGGCUCAACCUGGGAAUUGCAGUGGAUACUGGGUCACUAGAGUGUGGUAGAGGAUAGUGGAAUUUCCGGUGUAGCAGUGAAAUGCGUAGAGAUCGGAAGGAACAUCUGUGGCGAAGGCGACUAUCUGGGCCAACACUGACACUGAGGCACGAAAGCGUGGGGAGCAAACAGGAUUAGAUACCCCCGUAGUCCCUGUCUCUUAUAC
RNAcentral lists this ribosomal RNA (310 nucleotides) under uncultured bacterium. RNAcentral's name for it is "partial 16S ribosomal RNA". It matches the Rfam family "Bacterial small subunit ribosomal RNA", at positions 503 to 807 of the family's 1533-position model. The record is from RNAcentral.